This 465-nucleotide ribosomal RNA is filed under the name Vreelandella stevensii. Its description in RNAcentral is "partial 16S ribosomal RNA". It matches the Rfam family "Bacterial small subunit ribosomal RNA", at positions 338 to 795 of the family's 1533-position model. The record is from RNAcentral. Lineage: Bacteria; Pseudomonadati; Pseudomonadota; Gammaproteobacteria; Oceanospirillales; Halomonadaceae.
CCUACGGGUGACAGCAGUGGGGAAUAUUGGACAAUGGGCGAAAGCCUGAUCCAGCCAUGCCGCGUGUGUGAAGAAGGCCUUCGGGUUGUAAAGCACUUUCAGUGGGGAAGAAAGCCUUGGGGCUAAUACCCUCGAGGAAGGACAUCACCCACAGAAGAAGCACCGGCUAACUCCGUGCCAGCAGCCGCGGUAAUACGGAGGGUGCGAGCGUUAAUCGGAAUUACUGGGCGUAAAGCGCGCGUAGGCGGUCUGAUAAGCCGGUUGUGAAAGCCCCGGGCUCAACCUGGGAACGGCAUCCGGAACUGUCAGGCUAGAGUGCAGGAGAGGAAGGUAGAAUUCCCGGUGUAGCGGUGAAAUGCGUAGAGAUCGGGAGGAAUACCAGUGGCGAAGGCGGCCUUCUGGACUGACACUGACGCUGAGGUGCGAAAGCGUGGGUAGCAAACAGGAUUAGAUACCCUUGUAGUC